RNAcentral lists this unclassified non-coding RNA (248 nucleotides) under Hevea brasiliensis (rubber tree). The record is from RNAcentral. Lineage: Eukaryota; Viridiplantae; Streptophyta; Magnoliopsida; Malpighiales; Euphorbiaceae.
GCUCUACUCACACGUAGUAAGAUCACGGUAGCUGUCCAACAUAAGAAUUGCUCUUCAACACCCCUCCCUCCACUACAAUUGCUCUUUAGUACUUCUUUCCGAUCAUACUUCAUAAUAAAAGGCCUUGUUACAUUUAUUUUUUUUUUGGGUGUAAUUAUGUAAUUAAGCUUUUAAUUCUUAAUUAGUAUCUUUCUCCUGGCAAUAGUUUUGUUCUCAUUACACGAUUUUUUUUUUUUUCAUUUCAAUGU